UGCGGGGUGGAGCAGUCUGGUAGCUCAUCGGGCUCAUAACCCGAAGGUCGCAGGUUCGAAUCCUGCCCCCGCUA
RNAcentral lists this transfer RNA (74 nucleotides) under Candidatus Palauibacterales bacterium. RNAcentral's name for it is "tRNA-Met". It matches the Rfam family "tRNA". From Rfam's summary of the family: Transfer RNA (tRNA) molecules are approximately 80 nucleotides in length. Their secondary structure includes four short double-helical elements and three loops (D, anti-codon, and T loops). RNAcentral also lists the same sequence under 1 other name. The record is from RNAcentral. Lineage: Bacteria; Pseudomonadati; Gemmatimonadota; Gemmatimonadia; Candidatus Palauibacterales.